AUUGAACGCUGGCGGCAGGCCUAACACAUGCAAGUCGAGCGGAAACGAGUUAUCUGAACCUUCGGGGAACGAUAACGGCGUCGAGCGGCGGACGGGUGAGUAAUGCCUGGGAAAUUGCCCUGAUGUGGGGAUAACCAUUGGAAACGAUGGCUAAUACCGCAUAAUAGCUUCGGCUCAAAGAGGGGGGACCUUCGGGCCUCUCGCGUCAGGAUAUGCCCAGGUGGGAUUAGCUAGUUGGUGAGGUAAUGGCUCACCAAGGCGACGAUCCCUAGCUGGUCUGAGAGGAUGAUCAGCCACACUGGAACUGAGACACGGUCCAGACUCCUACGGGAGGCAGCAGUGGGGAAUAUUGCACAAUGGGCGCAAGCCUGAUGCAGCCAUGCCGCGUGUAUGAAGAAGGCCUUCGGGUUGUAAAGUACUUUCAGCAGUGAGGAAGGUGGUAGUGUUAAUAGCACUAUCAUUUUGACGUUUAGCGC
This 476-nucleotide ribosomal RNA is filed under the name uncultured bacterium. Its description in RNAcentral is "bacterial SSU rRNA". It matches the Rfam family "Bacterial small subunit ribosomal RNA", at positions 30 to 482 of the family's 1533-position model. The record is from RNAcentral.